This 979-nucleotide ribosomal RNA is filed under the name Salmonella enterica. RNAcentral describes it as "partial 23S ribosomal RNA". It matches the Rfam family "Bacterial large subunit ribosomal RNA", at positions 1955 to 2925 of the family's 2925-position model. Lineage: Bacteria; Pseudomonadati; Pseudomonadota; Gammaproteobacteria; Enterobacterales; Enterobacteriaceae. The record is from RNAcentral.
GGUAGCGAAAUUCCUUGUCGGGUAAGUUCCGACCUGCACGAAUGGCGUAAUGAUGGCCAGGCUGUCUCCACCCGAGACUCAGUGAAAUUGAACUCGCUGUGAAGAUGCAGUGUACCCGCGGCAAGACGGAAAGACCCCGUGAACCUUUACUAUAGCUUGACACUGAACAUUGAGCCUUGAUGUGUAGGAUAGGUGGGAGGCUUUGAAGUGUGGACGCCAGUCUGCAUGGAGCCGACCUUGAAAUACCACCCUUUAAUGUUUGAUGUUCUAACGUGGACCCGUUACCCGGGUUGCGGACAGUGUCUGGUGGGUAGUUUGACUGGGGCGGUCUCCUCCUAAAGAGUAACGGAGGAGCACGAAGGUUGGCUAAUCCUGGUCGGACAUCAGGAGGUUAGUGCAAUGGCAUAAGCCAGCUUGACUGCGAGCGUGACGGCGCGAGCAGGUGCGAAAGCAGGUCAUAGUGAUCCGGUGGUUCUGAAUGGAAGGGCCAUCGCUCAACGGAUAAAAGGUACUCCGGGGAUAACAGGCUGAUACCGCCCAAGAGUUCAUAUCGACGGCGGUGUUUGGCACCUCGAUGUCGGCUCAUCACAUCCUGGGGCUGAAGUAGGUCCCAAGGGUAUGGCUGUUCGCCAUUUAAAGUGGUACGCGAGCUGGGUUUAGAACGUCGUGAGACAGUUCGGUCCCUAUCUGCCGUGGGCGCUGGAGAACUGAGGGGGGCUGCUCCUAGUACGAGAGGACCGGAGUGGACGCAUCACUGGUGUUCGGGUUGUCAUGCCAAUGGCACUGCCCGGUAGCUAAAUGCGGAAGAGAUAAGUGCUGAAAGCAUCUAAGCACGAAACUUGCCCCGAGAUGAGUUCUCCCUGAGACUUAGAGUCUCCUGAAGGAACGUUGAAGACGACGACGUUGAUAGGCCGGGUGUGUAAGCGCAGCGAUGCGUUGAGCUAACCGGUACUAAUGAACCGUGAGGCUUAACCUUACA